UCCACAUCCAAAGCUCAGCUUAGAACAUUGGGUGUAACUGAUCUAUACAAGGUCCAUCUGGAGAAACAAAUUGCAAAGUGUGAUCCUCAGGUGGAGCAUAUAAAACAGACAAGGCUAGAAAUUCAGUUGCUUGAAUUUAAGUGAUCAUGCACAGAGCCUGACCAUUUGGCUUCAAUAUUUGUAAUGUGGGUAGCAUCACAUAAGAUCUUGAUGGAGAACAAUCAAAGACUUCCUGACGGGAUGCAGACAGAGGCUUUAAGUAGGACCCCACACCUCUACAUCCAUCAGCCUUAGCACAAGCUCUCCUCAGGGCUGUGUGCUGAGUCCCCUGCGCUACACCCUGUAUACUUACGACUGCACCACUGCUCACACCAGCAACACCAUCAUUAAAUUUGCAGACGACACCACCAUAGUGGGGCUUAUCUCAGGAGCCGAUGAGACCGCCUACCGGGACGAAGUGGAGCGGUUGUCGUUGUGGUGUAAGGACAACAAUCUGCUUCUGAACACGGCAAAGACAAAGGAGCUGGUAAUUGAUUUUAGGAAGGUGAGGAGCGUCGUUCAACCCAUAACCAUUAAUGGGGACUGUGUAGAAAGGGUCACAUAUUUUUGCUUCUUGGGUAUUCACAUCGAGGAGGACCUAACCUGGGGUGUGAACAUCACAGAACUAACAAAACACAGCAGAGACUCUCUUUCUAAGGACCCUCAGGAUAAAUAACAUUGAUCAGAGACUGCUGGUGUCUUUCUACCAUUCAACCAUAGAGAGCAUCCUCACUCACGGCCUCUGUGUGUGGUUCUCCAGUUGCACUGCGGCACACAAAAAAGAAAUACAGAGGAUUGUGAGGUCUGCGGAGAAAAUCAUCGGAUGCUCUCUACCCAUCCUGGAGGACCUACACAGGUCUCGUUGCCUUCAAAAAACUCACAAAAAUGUAAUGGACAAGUCUCACCCCGGCCACCAUCUGUUUGAGUUGUUACCAUCAGGCAGACGGUAUAGAACAAACCGGCUCAAAAAUAGCUUCUACCCCACAGCGGUACAAACCCUAAAUACUUCUAUAUAAGGUGAUUUCACUAAACACAUGGGACUGUGCAAUUUCAAGCAAUGUGUACAAUGUUUACAAAUGGCAGUGUGCAAUUUCCACUAGCUUGUUACUGACAGAAGGUCUAUGUGUGUGUUACUGUUAUUCUUUUUAUUGUAAAUUUUGCGAAUGCAAAUUUUGGAUUUUGUAAAUACUAUUUUUUUUAUUUUAUUUGUAACACUGUAGAGUAU
Trichomycterus rosablanca is the source of this 1264-nucleotide long non-coding RNA. RefSeq lists it as uncharacterized. Lineage: Eukaryota; Metazoa; Chordata; Actinopteri; Siluriformes; Trichomycteridae. The transcript has 4 exons. The record is from RefSeq and is a predicted model, not a curated record.